RNAcentral lists this small nucleolar RNA (86 nucleotides) under Salix viminalis (osier). The record is from RNAcentral. Lineage: Eukaryota; Viridiplantae; Streptophyta; Magnoliopsida; Malpighiales; Salicaceae.
UGCAGUCUGUGAUGCAAAUACUUACCCAGUAAAUGAUUUUCAGUGAUUAACAUAUUUACAAUCACCAUCUUUCGACUGAGAUUGCA